Molecule: unclassified non-coding RNA, 303 nt
Organism: Ursus americanus (American black bear)
Lineage: Eukaryota; Metazoa; Chordata; Mammalia; Carnivora; Ursidae
Gene: 7SK
Rfam family: 7SK RNA
About the family: 7SK was discovered as an abundant small nuclear RNA in the mid-70s but a possible function has only recently been suggested. Two independent studies have found that 7SK RNA binds the CDK9/cyclin T complex (known as elongation factor P-TEFb). P-TEFb activates transcription by phosphorylating the C-terminal domain of RNA polymerase II.
Source: Ensembl
GGGCGUGAGGGUGAUCUGGCAGUGAUAGGUCACUCCACUGAUAGCCAGGGUGCAUUUGGCUGAUCUGGCUAGCUAGACAGGUGUCCCCUUCCUCCCCCUUCCAUGUGCAUCCCUCUCGUAGCUGUGCGCUCAAAGAGGAUGACCUUCCCAGACAUUGUUCUUCCAUCAAGGAUAUAUGAGAAGCUGCGCACCUGUUAGAACCUCCAAACAAGUUCUCAAGUUCAGUUUGUAGGAGAAUGUAGGGUAGUGAAGAUGCCAGGACUCCAGACACAUCCGAAUGAGGCACCGCAUCUGCCUUUCUUU